This 254-nucleotide ribosomal RNA is filed under the name uncultured bacterium. RNAcentral describes it as "partial 16S ribosomal RNA". It matches the Rfam family "Bacterial small subunit ribosomal RNA", at positions 524 to 776 of the family's 1533-position model. The record is from RNAcentral.
CACGUAGGGGGCAAGCGUUGUCCGGAUUUAUUGGGCGUAAAGGGCUCGUAGGCGGUUCGACAAGUCGGGUGUGAAACCUCCAGGCUCAACCUGGAGACGCCGCUCGAAACUGUUGUGACUAGAGUCCGGUAGAGGAGUAUGGAAUUCCUGGUGUAGAGGUGGAAUGCGCAGAUAUCAGGAGGAACACCAGUAGCGAAGGCGAUACUCUGGGCCGGUACUGACGCUGAGGAGCGAAAGCAUGGGGAGCGAACAGG